This 253-nucleotide ribosomal RNA is filed under the name uncultured bacterium. RNAcentral's name for it is "partial 16S ribosomal RNA". It matches the Rfam family "Bacterial small subunit ribosomal RNA", at positions 524 to 776 of the family's 1533-position model. The record is from RNAcentral.
UACGUAGGGUGCGAGCGUUAAUCGGAAUUACUGGGCGUAAAGCGUGCGCAGGCGGUUUUGUAAGCCAGAUGUGAAAUCCCCGGGCUCAACCUGAGAAUGGCAUUUGGAACUGCAAGACUAGAGUAUGGCAGAGGAGACUAGAAUUUCUGGUGUAGCAGUGAAAUGCGUAGAUAUCAGAAGGAAUACCGAUGGCGAAGGCAGGUCUCUGGGUUAAUACUGACGCUCAUGCACGAAAGCGUGGGGAGCAAACAGG